RNAcentral lists this ribosomal RNA (591 nucleotides) under uncultured deep-sea bacterium. RNAcentral describes it as "bacterial SSU rRNA". It matches the Rfam family "Bacterial small subunit ribosomal RNA", at positions 8 to 590 of the family's 1533-position model. The record is from RNAcentral.
AGAGUUUGAUCCUGGCUCAGAUUGAACGCUGGCGGCAUGCCUAACACAUGCAAGUCGAACGGAAACGAUGGGAGCUUGCUCCCAGGCGUCGAGUGGCGGACGGGUGAGUAAUACUUAGGAAUCUACCCAGUAGCGGGGGACAACUCGAGGAAACUCGAGCUAAUACCGCAUACGCCCUACGGGGGAAAGCAGGGGAUCUUCGGACCUUGCACUAUUGGAUGAGCCUAAGUCGGAUUAGCUUGUUGGUGAGGUAAAGGCUCACCAAGGCAACGAUCCGUAGCUGGUCUGAGAGGACGAUCAGCCACACUGGGACUGAGACACGGCCCAGACUCCUACGGGAGGCAGCAGUGGGGAAUAUUGGACAAUGGGGGCAACCCUGAUCCAGCAAUGCCGCGUGUGUGAAGAAGGCCUGCGGGUUGUAAAGCACUUUCAGUAGAGAAGAAAAGCCUACGGUUAAUACCCGUGAGUCUUGACGUUACCUACAGAAGAAGCUCCGGCUAACUCCGUGCCAGCAGCCGCGGUAAUACGGAGGGAGCGAGCGUUAAUCGGAAUUACUGGGCGUAAAGCGCGCGUAGGCGGCUUUGUAAGUCG